Vespa crabro (European hornet) is the source of this 292-nucleotide long non-coding RNA. RefSeq lists it as uncharacterized. NCBI's taxonomy places the organism in Eukaryota, Metazoa, Arthropoda, Insecta, Hymenoptera, Vespidae. The transcript has 3 exons. The record is from RefSeq and is a predicted model, not a curated record.
UAUUGUAUCCGUAAUAGUGCUAUGUAGUUGAACUACGGGGUCCACUUCUCUUCCUUGUUAUUGGUUUUUUCGCCAUCUUGGAUGCAAUAACAAGUGUACACGGUGUGUCGUUGUUCCGCUUAAUUUCAGAUUUCUAAGAAUUUCACGAGCUACAAUAGAAAAGCAACGAAUAUAUCAGUUAUACAUCUCUUCGUAUACGUACGGAUUAUCAUUACAAUUGUAUGCGAAAUGAUGAAUAAAUCAAGUGUUAUAUCGUUUAAAUAAAAAAAAAAAUCGCGAAGUAGAAGCAGUG